AAUGAAGAUUUCUGCUUUACCUUUUUUUCAUUAAAGAAAGUCCCUUUGAUAUUAAAAAUCUAUUUACUAGAUAAAAUAAUCAAUCAAAAGAAUUAAUACUUAAUUUACGGGUCUUGCACAUGCAACAGCUUAUACCCAACAUAAUGUUGUCAGUCUUUCAUACAGCAUUGGAAUUAUUAUGUGAGAUUCAUUAAUAUUAAAUUUAGGGAUAGUUUACUUUGGAUUUAUUAUCCCCUUUCUUUUUGGCAUUACUUUCAUGGAUUCUUCGGAUAUGUUAUUGUAUUUGGCCAAAUUAAGUAACCCC
RNAcentral lists this long non-coding RNA (304 nucleotides) under Brassica napus (rape). Its description in RNAcentral is "long non-coding RNA (BNAP_LNC003035)". The record is from RNAcentral. Lineage: Eukaryota; Viridiplantae; Streptophyta; Magnoliopsida; Brassicales; Brassicaceae.